CGGGGCGUAGCGCAGAUGGCAGCGCGCAUGGUUCGGGACCAUGAGGUCGCUGGUUCAAAUCCAGUCGCCCCGACCG
This 76-nucleotide transfer RNA is filed under the name Candidatus Abyssobacteria bacterium SURF_5. RNAcentral's name for it is "Candidatus Abyssubacteria bacterium SURF_5 tRNA-Pro". It matches the Rfam family "tRNA". From Rfam's summary of the family: Transfer RNA (tRNA) molecules are approximately 80 nucleotides in length. Lineage: Bacteria; Pseudomonadati; Candidatus Hydrogenedentota; Candidatus Abyssobacteria. The record is from RNAcentral.